RNA transcript from Helianthus annuus (common sunflower), 1983 nucleotides. RefSeq lists it as uncharacterized. The record is from RefSeq and is a predicted model, not a curated record. NCBI's taxonomy places the organism in Eukaryota, Viridiplantae, Streptophyta, Magnoliopsida, Asterales, Asteraceae. The transcript has 6 exons.
AACCGGUAAAUACCGGUACCGAACCGGUACCGUACCAGACCGGUACCGAACCGGUACCAAAAAUGUUAAAAGUCGGUACCGAAUCGGUACCGAAAAGGUACCCGGUUCGGUAAAUUCGGUACCGGGUCCAUUUUGCUCAUCCCUUCGAGGUCUCGGGUUUGAAACAUGUUUCUUACCCCUCUUUGAUGGCUAUGGGUAUUUGCCGCCAGGGAUCCUUGUCGGGUGGUGAACUGGGAAGGGAGAUCCCUUCCGCGGUCAGGGGUACCGUGCAACUACCCUUUUUUUUUUUAGUUUUGGUGGAAAAUGGACCUAGAAUCUUUGGUAAGAAAUUCUGAUUUGUUAGGUUUCAUGGCUAUCAAUUUUGUAUACCCUUUAGCAAAUUUGGAAAUUCGAUAGUAUUAAUAACUGCUCAAAGUCAGAACACAUCUUCUGAAAUCCGUAUGGCUAAGUGUAGUGGUGAAAAUAGGCGGGUUGGUUAACGGGGCAUGGGUCCAGUUGACUUACAAACCAUCUUUUUGUCUACUUAAUUUGUUUUUCUAUACUAUAUAUAAUAUGCAUAUUGUUAUUUCUAGCAACUGAUGUUGAAAUUUUGGGGAGUGUAAUGAUGAUUCUGACAGCUUGAGUAGCAAUUUGCGAUGGCAACAAUGACUACCCGCGGCGGAGGUGAACUCCAGCCGCCAAACUGCGGUGGUCUAUGGUGGUGGUUGUAUACUCCGGCCGCCAAAAUCAUUUUGUGUUGAAGUAUAGCGGGAGAUCUCUGAACUCCAAGGUUACAGUGGAUGGACAAGGAAGAAUAGACUCCAGUUGCUGAUGAAAGUCAAGAUAGAGUUGAAUUUCUACUAAAGGAAGGCACGGGUAAAGAUACCACCGAACUAAUUGCUUCCGGAAGGGAGUAGUGGGCGUCAGUUUCGUUCCAUCUGGUGGUGGUGGUUGUGUUGUAGUUGCUGGUGGUGCUGCACUUGCUGCUGUUGCCGUAGUUGAGGCAAAGAAAGAGGAGAAGGUUGAAGAGAAGAGGAAUAUGAUGUUUGCAACUUGGGUUUUAGAGGUGAACCAGCUCUCUCAAGAGUUUAUGGAUCCAAAUCUUGUUAAGGUCAUAGUGGGCUGUUGCCGAAGCAAGCACUUUUUAGUAUAGUCAAAACUAGCCGUCCCAACCUAUAACCGCUUUUUUAAUCAUUUUCCUUGUGCAAAGUUAAUAAUUACCAGCGGAAAAGGUCAAGUCUUGGCAGCGGGAACAGCAGGUCAAUGAAGUUCAUGAUCGUCUUUUUUUCACUCUUAUUUUAGGGUGAUGCUCAAUAACUUCAUGGUACCGUACCGGAACAACCAAAAAUAUCAGAAAUCAAGUCGGUACCAAAUCGGUACCGAAAAUGUAUCCAGUUUGGUAAAUUCGGUACCAGUGCUGUUCGAAACCAGUACCCGGUACCAUGUGUCAUCCCUAUUCUAAAUGCAUAUUACACCUGUUGAACUAGAGUGAAACUUUGGUAUGACAUUCAUCCUUUACAAUUUCAUAUCGUUAGUGGCAUGCAGCUACGGUGCAUUGGAAUAUGACUGAUGAAAAACAAAACAGUUUCAUAUUGCUCAAUCAUUCUGAUAACAUUGUACUGAUAAUCUUGAACAUAUAAUCAGAGAUCUCGAACAGGUGUAUUGGUAAUCGACAAGUUUUCAGAGUGUGGGCUUCGUUCUCUUGGAGUUUCUUGCCAGGAAGUGCCGGCUGGAAAGAAAGAGAGCAUGGGUGAAUUGUGGGAGUUCAUCCGCCUUCUUCCUUUAUUCAACCCUCCACAACAUGACAGUUCUGAAACUAUCAUACGAGGCCUUUGGCUGAUGUGGACUACCUUCAUAAAAUUACUCGUAGAUGUGUUUGUAUAGAAUUUAUUUUAUGUCAUAAAAUCGUAGAUGCGUUUGUACAAGAUUUUGUUUGUUUUCUAUAUAGAAGAGCUAUACAAUAUAAUGGGCGAAACUUCAUUGGGGAAAGGGGCGUCCCCUUUU